This 338-nucleotide ribosomal RNA is filed under the name Escherichia sp. E3659. RNAcentral's name for it is "bacterial SSU rRNA". It matches the Rfam family "Bacterial small subunit ribosomal RNA", at positions 1206 to 1533 of the family's 1533-position model. Lineage: Bacteria; Pseudomonadati; Pseudomonadota; Gammaproteobacteria; Enterobacterales; Enterobacteriaceae. The record is from RNAcentral.
GACCAGGGCUACACACGUGCUACAAUGGCGCAUACAAAGAGAAGCGACCUCGCGAGAGCAAGCGGACCUCAUAAAGUGCGUCGUAGUCCGGAUUGGAGUCUGCAACUCGACUCCAUGAAGUCGGAAUCGCUAGUAAUCGUGGAUCAGAAUGCCACGGUGAAUACGUUCCCGGGCCUUGUACACACCGCCCGUCACACCAUGGGAGUGGGUUGCAAAAGAAGUAGGUAGCUUAACCUUCGGGAGGGCGCUUACCACUUUGUGAUUCAUGACUGGGGUGAAGUCGUAACAAGGUAACCGUAGGGGAACCUGCGGUUGGAUCACCUCCUUACCUUAAAGAA